AUUGAACGCUGGCGGCAGGCCUAACACAUGCAAGUCGGACGGUAGCACAGAGGAGCUUGCUCCUCGGGUGACGAGUGGCGGACAGGUGAGUAAUGUCUGGGGAUCUGCCCGAUAGAGGGGGAUAACCACUGGAAACGGUGGCUAAUACCGCAUAACGUCGCAAGACCAAAGAGGGGGACCUUCGGGCCUCUCACUAUCGGAUGAACCCAGAUGGGAUUAGCUAGUAGGCGGGGUAAUGGCCCACCUAGGCGACGAUCCCUAGCUGGUCUGAGAGGAUGACCAGCCACACUGGAACGGAGACACGGUCCAGACUCCUACGGGAGGCAGCAGUGGGGAAUAUUGCACAAUGGGCGCAAGCCUGAUGCAGCCAUGCCGCGUGUAUGAAGAAGGCCUUCGGGUUGUAAAGUACUUUCAGCGGGGAGGAAGGCGGUGAGGUUAAUAACCUUGCCGAUUGACGUUACCCGCAGAAGAAGCACCGGCUAACUCCGUGCCAGCCGCCGCUGUAA
Molecule: ribosomal RNA, 506 nt
Filed under: uncultured bacterium
Lineage: Bacteria
Description: partial 16S ribosomal RNA
Rfam family: Bacterial small subunit ribosomal RNA
Source: RNAcentral